RNAcentral lists this ribosomal RNA (440 nucleotides) under uncultured bacterium. RNAcentral's name for it is "partial 16S ribosomal RNA". It matches the Rfam family "Bacterial small subunit ribosomal RNA", at positions 338 to 795 of the family's 1533-position model. The record is from RNAcentral.
CCUACGGGAGGCAGCAGUGGGGAAUAUUGCACAAUGGGGGAAACCCUGAUGCAGCGACGCCGCGUGAGCGAAGAAGUAUUUCGGUAUGUAAAGCUCUAUCAGCAGGGAAGAAAAUGACGGUACCUGAGUACGAAGCUCCGGCUAAAUACGUGCCAGCAGCCGCGGUAAUACGUAUGGAGCAAGCGUUAUCCGGAUUUACUGGGCGUAAAGGGAGCGUAGGCGGCCUGCCAAGUCUGAUGUGAAAUACCGGGGCUCAACCCCGGGGCUGCAGUGGAAACUGGCAGGCUGGAGUGCAGGAGAGGCAGGCGGAAUUCCUGGUGUAGCGGUGAAAUGCGUAGAUAUUAGGAGGAACACCAGUGGCGAAGGCGGCCUGCUGGACGGUGACUGACGCUGAGGCUCGAAAGCGUGGGGAGCAAACAGGAUUAGAUACCCUUGUAGUC